Molecule: non-coding RNA, 21 nt
Organism: Caenorhabditis elegans
Lineage: Eukaryota; Metazoa; Nematoda; Chromadorea; Rhabditida; Rhabditidae
Source: Ensembl
UCGAUCUUCAAAACAGUUGCU